RNAcentral lists this long non-coding RNA (1326 nucleotides) under Mustela putorius furo (domestic ferret). RNAcentral describes it as "lncRNA (ENSMPUG00000029784.1)". The record is from RNAcentral. Lineage: Eukaryota; Metazoa; Chordata; Mammalia; Carnivora; Mustelidae.
GAAAGCUGAGGACAAUGCCUAGGGAAUCACCUUCAUGAUUAAGAGGAUACUACACAAUAGAUACAGCUAGAUCGAAGGAAAGAAGAGCUGUGGGAGAGCAGUAGCAGAGAAGGUUCGGGAGGAGUUUCCAGCAAGUCAGAUGGAGUGAAAUUGAACAGAAGCCACUGAGUUUGACAAUUAGUCAUUGGUGAUCAUUGGCCAGGAUCAUAAGCACGUGAUACUAGGAUUUGAGAGCCGAUCUGACUCCAUGACAAGGCACAGUCCUAAGACAUAGCAUCAUGGUCAAUGAGGACAUGAGGACUCACAUGAGGAGAGACAGUGAGAGAGGGAGCACAAGCAGGAGGAGUGGGAGAUGGAGAAGCAGGCUUCCUGCGGAGCAGGGAGCACGACACAGGGCUCCGUCCCAGGACCCCGGUAUCAUGAAUGGACCCGAAGGCAGAUGCUUAAUGACGGAGCCACCCAGGUGCCCCUAAUGAUCACCUUUUUAAAACGAAAGGGACAUUUCAUAUGACAAACCUCAUUUCCUGACAUCUAGUUGUAAAGAGCUGGUGUUCCCGGUGUGCUCUUCACAGUGGACCAUGUCCUUGGCAUCACUUGCAGGCUUUGUAUUUAUAUCUAACAGACUGACCCCAGCAGAUUGAAUCACCAGCUUCACCUGCUCGAAAUUCCUUUGACAGAAGUCGUCUUUCAGCCCAGCACCAGGAAUUCUAAAGCUAAAAUGUAAAUAAACCUAAAGGAACACACCGACUCAUGUUCACACUAUGGAUGAUGGCAGAUGUGUUCUGAGGUUGGGUUUUGAGGAGAGAUGGAAAGGGACCCGGAACUAAGACUGAUUAAGUAGCUGCUAGGUACCAGGCAUACCCGAUCUUUUUAACAAGCUUGGAAGAUAGGUAUUCCUUUAUUCAGGUUUCAGGUUCAUAACAAAGAUACUCAGAGCAUUUAAGUAAUUUCUUAAAGUAAUAUAACUAAGUAGUAGAGACCAUGCUUUGUCCACUAUACCAAGCCACAUGCCUGUGUGUAUGGAAAGAGGGGGCUAAGAAGAGAGAUCGGAGACUUCGUAUACUCCAGAAAGUCUCCCCAGGGGCAGUACCAGCAUAGGGCCCAGUAUACACCCAGUGCACAGUUAAUGAAUGUGCAUGUUGAAUGCACAUUGAAUGUGCACUGUUGAAUGAACUGAUGUGAAUGCCAUCAAAAUAUUCGAAACACUCAUGUACUUAAAAACCCUGUGGUAACUCCCAACUGCCUGUAGUAGUAAUUCUCUAAAUUGUUCAGAAAGCAAAGCACUUAGAAAUCAUGGUGUUCUUUUUAGGGUAUGACAGAUAUACA